UGGCCGAACAGGUCUGUCGGGAAAUCUGCUCGCUUAACGAGCAGGCGUCCGGCGGAAACCGUUCGGCUUGGGACCGGAAGACCCGAGGGGUACGUCUGGGGUAGGAGUGAAAUCCUGUAAUCCUGGACGGACCGCCGGUGGCGAAAGCGCCUCGGGAAGACGGAUCCGACAGUGAGGGACGAAAGCUAGGGUCACGAACCGGAUUAGAUACCCGGGUAGUCCUAGCCGUAAACGAUGCUCACUAGGUGUGGCACUGGCUACGAGCCAGUGCUGUGCCGUAGGGAAGCCGUGAAGUGAGCCGCCUGGGAA
RNAcentral lists this ribosomal RNA (309 nucleotides) under uncultured archaeon. RNAcentral's name for it is "bacterial SSU rRNA". It matches the Rfam family "Archaeal small subunit ribosomal RNA", at positions 526 to 834 of the family's 1478-position model. The record is from RNAcentral.